UAUUAGUAUCAAUAUGAGCGUUACAACUACAAAACAUAUUGCCCAAUUAUAUAACAUGAGUUUAAGGCAUACAUAGUUAUGAUGAAAAUUACACGUAUGCCAUUAACAGCAACAUAAGCUCUAUUUACUACUUUAUCAUGAAAAUUACAUAUAUGUCAUUAGGAGAAAAAAUUCUACACUUGAAUAUUAUUUUUCUCUAUCAUACUCCACAACUACAUCCAAAUUUUUAUGGAUCAUGAGGGUUGGAGCAAUAGCGACAGGAAACGACAGCGUUCGCGACAGAUGGCGAGCGAGAGUUCGAAACGAGCAGCAUCUUCGGAGGGUACUAAGAUUAGUGGGUGUGCUGUCGCCUCGUCGUGUCCUGGGUUUUCUUUUACGGCUGGAGCUCCUCUCUUUUCGAUGGUUGACGGGUCGUCCUCUUUCUCGAACAUGACGUUUCGAUUCGAGCUUUUUGAACGAGUCUUUCUUUGAUUUUGUGGAGUCUAAUGGGCGUGGCCUUUAAGGGUAAGUUUGAAAUGAUUCAGAGGUUGAAGAUGGGAUUUUGCGAGGUGUCGUGGGGUCAAAUGCAUCUAAAAAGAUACAAAGUAGGAGCCAUUCAAUUUGAGAUUGAUAUAAGCGCCCCCCACGUAGCUCAAUUCAAGUCCCAAAGGCUACUAGAAAGAGCUAUGGAAGGAAAUGGAAAUUGUAACGCAAGAUCCUCCUCUCCGCCAUGGAGUCUCCCCUCUACCGCUUGUGUAGUCCCCCUCUACCAGCUGGGUAGGUCCUGUUGCCAUUCUCCUCUCCGAUCUUGGAGCUUCUGCUUACUUCGGUUCUCCGUCUCUUCCUCUUGUUGAUUUUCCUUCGUCGCGAUGUCUAAACUUCAAAAUCUCCAUUGAGUGCUCGGAAACCCUAAUUUCUGCCCCUUCACUCUUCGUUCGCCGAUUUCUUUCCCCUCAAGGUACCCCUCUCUCUUCCCUCAUCUGAGCUCCCUUCAACCCUCAAAUCCACUAAUCACCCAAAUUCCCAUUCCCCUACAAACAAAAUAUGGCUGAUCAGAACAACGAAGACAGGAGACUUGGGGCUCUCUGCAAAAGUAUGGGCAACCUCUGGAAUGCAGUCGACGUUGUCGAUAUCCCAGGUGCAAUCUCUCCUGAAAAAUUACUUGAGUGUCGCAAAACCCUAUUUGGCCGAUUUUACACAAACCCUGCUUUGAACUUCAAUGCUUUUAUAAGCCUUAUGAGAAAAGCUUGGAGGACGGAGAACUUUACCUGUGCGACGCUAGAACCUAGUUUUUUCUCCUUCUCCUUCCAAUCGGAAGCUGAGAAAUAGAGAGUACUCCAAUCUGGGCCUUGGUCUUUCUCCAGCCAUCUUCUCGUACUUAUGCAGUGCGAACCUGACACACCUGAGUUCUGUUAUGAUUUUAAUCAUUGUGAUUUCUGGGUAAAGUUUAUAGGCUUACAUUAUGGGAGAGUUACUUAUGAUGUUAUCGAGGCAAUUGCUUCCAAACUUGGAGUAGUUGUCGAAGUGAAACUGGAGGAAAAGGGAAAUAGCACC
Molecule: long non-coding RNA, 1533 nt
Filed under: Eucalyptus grandis
Lineage: Eukaryota; Viridiplantae; Streptophyta; Magnoliopsida; Myrtales; Myrtaceae
Description: long non-coding RNA (EGRA_LNC003314)
Source: RNAcentral